This 254-nucleotide ribosomal RNA is filed under the name uncultured bacterium. RNAcentral's name for it is "partial 16S ribosomal RNA". It matches the Rfam family "Bacterial small subunit ribosomal RNA", at positions 524 to 776 of the family's 1533-position model. The record is from RNAcentral.
UACGGGGGGAGCAAGCGUUGUUCGGAUUUACUGGGCGUAAAGGGCGGGUAGGCGGCCACCGCAAGUCAGUUGUGAAAUCUCUGGGCUUAACCCAGAAAGGUCAACUGAUACUGCGGGGCUAGAGUGCAGAAGGGGCAACUGGAAUUCUCGGUGUAGCGGUGAAAUGCGUAGAUAUACGGAGGAACACCUGCGGCGAAGGCGGGUAGCUGGGCCAACACUGACGCUGAUGCGCGAAAGCUAGGGGAGCAAACGGG